Long non-coding RNA from Salvelinus namaycush (lake trout), 114 nucleotides. RefSeq lists it as uncharacterized. NCBI's taxonomy places the organism in Eukaryota, Metazoa, Chordata, Actinopteri, Salmoniformes, Salmonidae. The transcript has 3 exons. The record is from RefSeq and is a predicted model, not a curated record.
CUUUGCCUCAAGAAGAACCAGAGGCUCAAAAUGACGACUCUUUGCCUCAAGAAGAACCAGAGGCUCAAAAUGACGACUCUUUGCCUCAAGAAGAACCAGAGGCUCAAAAUGACG